UAUAGUAAAGGAGUAGGUCCGGUAAGGACUCAUUUUGGCCUCAAAUUUCAGUUUCAUCUGACGAAAGAUUUUGACCACUUUUUAAAGACUUAAGUGUCUAUUUCACUUGAUUUAAUUAGUAUAAGUGAAAUAUUUUAACUGAUUUAGUCAUUAAAAACGAUCUGAUUCAAGCUCAAAUAUGAAAAAUCUCUCAAAUAUGCCAAA
This 204-nucleotide long non-coding RNA is filed under the name Mytilus galloprovincialis (Mediterranean mussel). Lineage: Eukaryota; Metazoa; Mollusca; Bivalvia; Mytilida; Mytilidae. The record is from RNAcentral.